RNAcentral lists this ribosomal RNA (250 nucleotides) under uncultured bacterium. Its description in RNAcentral is "partial 16S ribosomal RNA". It matches the Rfam family "Bacterial small subunit ribosomal RNA", at positions 524 to 773 of the family's 1533-position model. The record is from RNAcentral.
UACGGAGGGUGCGAGCGUUGUCCGGAAUUAUUGGGUUUAAAGGGUGCGUAGGUGGCCGAAUAAGUCAGUGGUGAAAUUCAUGGGCUCAACCCGUGGCGUGCCAUUGAUACUGUUCGGCUUGAGUAUCGUAGGGGUAGGCGGAAUUUGUGGUGUAGCGGUGAAAUGCAUAGAUACCACAAGGAACACCGGAGGCGAAGGCGGCCUACUGGACGAUUACUGACACUGAGGCACGAAAGCAUGGGUAGCGAAC